CUUGACCUUUGACCUUGACCUUAUUUUAUUUUUUUUGGACCAAGGAUCUCAAAUCAAAAGACCCUAGGUCUCUAUUACUUAUGGUUUACCAGUUAGAAAUGCAUUUCACUUAUAUCAAAAACAUAAGGGGGAAUAACUGUCAUAUGGAGUCUCCGGAUAGCUUCGGUCGAAACUAAACUACUAAUCCUGAAGAUGUAACCAGCAAUUUGGUAAAAUAAAUUUGUCGUAAUCUUUUACGGUUGCGAAGGAGUAGUGGCCACAAGAAAAACAGUAUUUGGGGAGAUAACUCUUACAACGUAAAGUAUUUUGUUACGCAGUUGAAAAUUUUUAAAGCGUAUAUACUAUACGAUAUCAUAUUCCAAAUAUCUAAGCGACAUCUUUUGAAACAUCAACAAUACGCAAGAAAAAAUUUAGGCGGAAGAAUAGAAAAAAAAAUAAUAAUAAUAAUCAGAACAAAAGCAAUAGGUCUUUCCACGGAAAAGUGGAAAGACCUAAUAAU
RNAcentral lists this long non-coding RNA (499 nucleotides) under Mytilus galloprovincialis (Mediterranean mussel). The record is from RNAcentral. Lineage: Eukaryota; Metazoa; Mollusca; Bivalvia; Mytilida; Mytilidae.